Molecule: long non-coding RNA, 1337 nt
Organism: Setaria italica (foxtail millet)
Lineage: Eukaryota; Viridiplantae; Streptophyta; Magnoliopsida; Poales; Poaceae
Exons: 2
Source: RefSeq, a predicted model, not a curated record
AUGGGUAACGGAGAGCAUAAAUCAGUAAAAUAGAAAGUUACAGCACCCCCAGUUAGAUGCCAAAUGAAAGAUUUUAUUAAUGUACUACAACAUAUUUAAUGACUCAAAGCACAAGACAAGUCCCUGUUGCAGAGUAGAUCAUGAAAGGGAUUUUUCUUUUCUGUUUUCCAGGCCUUGAUAAAAUAUAUUAAAAAAAUGCAAUUUUACAUGUUUGUAGACUGCCUAAAGAUGGAUCACAAAAGUAGAUCUUUCAGAUAAAUAUUUAAUCUUCCGAUCAGUGUGCCAUAUUUUCAUUCACCCCCAAAAAGUACUGUUUAGCUAGGAAAAGAAUCCUAAGCUGAUCCAUGCUGUACUUUUAAUCAAGAAAUGAUAAAAUCAAGGGCAUCAUGGAUUUACCCUUUGGGCUAUUGAACAGAACCAGUGCUGUACUGCUGUUAGAGCAUCCGCAACUGUUGCUAGCUCUUAUAUGCCAACUCAUCUAACAGAUAGCACUGAAGUCUACUUUAGCUAUGGUCAACAUAAUAUAAGAGAAACAAAUGGCCAGAGUUUAGUUUUGGUGAUCACAUAGGGUCAAGCUUCGCCUUAUAUUCUGAAAUGAAUGGAAUAUUAAAGUGUCACUCUUCUCAAGAAAAUGAAAGCGCAUAUAUCAUUUGGACAUGUAAAGUAAGGCUCUUCUGUUUUAGUAUAAUAAUAUGUUUGUACUAUUUUCAGCAAAUGGAUCAGAGAGAUCAUAAAGCAAUAUAGCUUAGUUUCUCAAACUGGGGAUUGGGGUAACCAAAUUUUGGAGGAAAUGGACUUGGACAAAGGAUGGCUAACACUUCGUUUAUGCAAAGGAAAACACCUACAGCUACAUGGAGAACCUAAUCGAAAGUAGGAUAACAGUGGUAACAAACAUCAGAAGGCAUCAGCCACAAACAACCAAGGAAUGCAGAUCAGCGGAUCCCCAUUUCCUGUACUCCCCAUGAUCAAGAGAUUGCAGCGGUGCUGACGUGCUGUUUAGCCGUAACCUUUCCCCCGUCCUUUUUGUUCCUAUCCUCUUCCGUGCAUCGAGUCUUUCAUGUCGGGAAUAAUUUGCUGACACGGACAUGGCACGUGGACAGUGCCGACUGCCGAGAACGCAAGAACCACCGGGCCACUGGAAAAAGCCACGAGAUGGACUUGCAGCUCCCCUUCUCCUGCCGCUCACGAUACCAGAUCAGCUUAACAGCGACAAGACACUAUCCUUUCGCUAGUCGUCAAGAACCCCAGAAGAUAAAGGAUGUUCCUGUUUUUUUUAAACAAAAAGGUGUAUGAACAAAUUCCAGAAAAGGGGUUCUCGGGAUACUCCUCUUCCAUUA